GAUGAACGCUGGCGGCGUGCCUAAUACAUGCAAGUCGAGCGAACAGAUAAGGAGCUUGCUCCUUUGACGUUAGCGGCGGACGGGUGAGUAACACGUGGGUAACCUACCUAUAAGACUGGAAUAACUCCGGGAAACCGGGGCUAAUGCCGGAUAACAUUUAGAACCGCAUGGUUCUAAAGUGAAAGAUGGUUUUGCUAUCACUUAUAGAUGGACCCGCGCCGUAUUAGCUAGUUGGUAAGGUAACGGCUUACCAAGGCAACGAUACGUAGCCGACCUGAGAGGGUGAUCGGCCACACUGGAACUGAGACACGGUACAGACUCCUACGGGAGGCAGCAGUAGGGAAUCUUCCGCAAUGGGCGAAAGCCUGACGGAGCAACGCCGCGUGAGUGAUGAAGGUCUUCGGAUCGUAAAACUCUGUUAUUAGGGAAGAACAAAUGUGUAAGUAACUGUGCACGUCUUGACGGUACCUAAUCAGAAAGCCACGGCUAACUACGUG
This 497-nucleotide ribosomal RNA is filed under the name uncultured bacterium. RNAcentral's name for it is "partial 16S ribosomal RNA". It matches the Rfam family "Bacterial small subunit ribosomal RNA", at positions 28 to 507 of the family's 1533-position model. The record is from RNAcentral.